GGCAGAAUCAGCAGCGUGAUGAUGAUCCAGAAGCGGCGUUAGGCUGCGUGACAGGGAGUAUGCAGAACUGCAACACUUAUGACCGCUGGAAACACACAUGCAGACAACAGCCAGGCUCCUGAUAAAACGUGAGAGGGAGUCUACACGAUUACUUCAGUGCAGCAGCGUCUUUCGACAUGUUUACCUGCAUCCU
Molecule: long non-coding RNA, 193 nt
Organism: Neolamprologus brichardi
Lineage: Eukaryota; Metazoa; Chordata; Actinopteri; Cichliformes; Cichlidae
Source: RefSeq, a predicted model, not a curated record